Molecule: ribosomal RNA, 482 nt
Filed under: Tannerella forsythia
Lineage: Bacteria; Pseudomonadati; Bacteroidota; Bacteroidia; Bacteroidales; Tannerellaceae
Description: bacterial SSU rRNA
Rfam family: Bacterial small subunit ribosomal RNA
Source: RNAcentral
GAGUUUGAUUAUGGCUCAGGAUGAACGCUAGCGAUAGGCUUAACACAUGCAAGUCGAGGGGCAGCGAGGGUAGCAAUACCUGUCGGCGACCGGCGCACGGGUGAGUAACGCGUAUGUAACCUGCCCGCAACAGGGGGAUAACCCGGCGAAAGUCGGACUAAUACCGCAUAAAACAGGGGUCCCGCAUGGGAAUAUUUGUUAAAGAUUUAUCGGUUGCGGAUGGGCAUGCGUACCAUUAGGUAGUUGGUGAGGUAACGGCUCACCAAGCCUUCGAUGGUUAGGGGUUCUGAGAGGAAGGUCCCCCACACUGGUACUGAGACACGGACCAGACUCCUACGGGAGGCAGCAGUGAGGAAUAUUGGUCAAUGGGCGAGAGCCUGAACCAGCCAAGUCGCGUGAAGGAUGACUGCCCUAUGGGUUGUAAACUUCUUUUACAAGGGAAUAAAAUGAGAUACGUGUAUUUUAUUGCAUNACCUNGAUAG